AGUGAACGCUGGCGGUAGGCCUAACACAUGCAAGUCGAACGGCAGCACAGUAAGAGCUUGCUCUUACGGGUGGCGAGUGGCGGACGGGUGAGGAAUACAUCGGAAUCUACUUUUUCGUGGGGGAUAACGUAGGGAAACUUACGCUAAUACCGCAUACGACCUACGGGUGAAAGCAGGGGAUCUUCGGACCUUGCGCGAUUGAAUGAGCCGAUGUCGGAUUAGCUAGUUGGCGGGGUAAAGGCCCACCAAGGCGACGAUCCGUAGCUGGUCUGAGAGGAUGAUCAGCCACACUGGAACUGAGACACGGUCCAGACUCCUACGGGAGGCAGCAGUGGGGAAUAUUGGACAAUGGGCGCAAGCCUGAUCCAGCCAUACAGCGUGGGUGAAGAAGGCCUUCGGGUUGUAAAGCCCUUUUGUUGGGAAAGAAAAGCAGCAGGUUAAUACCCCGCUGUUCUGACGGUACCUAAGGAAUAAGCACCGGCUAACUUCGUG
RNAcentral lists this ribosomal RNA (492 nucleotides) under uncultured bacterium. Its description in RNAcentral is "partial 16S ribosomal RNA". It matches the Rfam family "Bacterial small subunit ribosomal RNA", at positions 29 to 507 of the family's 1533-position model. The record is from RNAcentral.